AUUGAACGCUGGCGGCAUGCUUUACACAUGCAAGUCGAACGGCAGCGCGGGCUUCUGCCUGGCGGCGAGUGGCGAACGGGUGAGUAAUGCAUCGGAACGUGCCCAGUAGUGGGGGAUAGCCCGUCGAAAGCCGGAUUAAUACCGCAUACGACCUGAGGGUGAAAGCGGGGGACCGAAAGGCCUCGCGCUAUUGGAGCGGCCGAUGUCGGAUUAGCUAGUUGGUGGGGUAAAGGCUUACCAAGGCGACGAUCCGUAGCUGGUCUGAGAGGACGACCAGCCACACUGGGACUGAGACACGGCCCAGACUCCUACGGGAGGCAGCAGUGGGGAAUUUUGGACAAUGGGGGCAACCCUGAUCCAGCCAUGCCGCGUGCGGGAAGAAGGCCUUCGGGUUGUAAACCGCUUUUGUUCGGGAAGAAAUCCUCUGGGCUAAUACCCCGGGGGGAUGACGGUACCGGAAGAAUAAGCACCGGCUAACUACGUG
Molecule: ribosomal RNA, 484 nt
Filed under: uncultured bacterium
Lineage: Bacteria
Description: partial 16S ribosomal RNA
Rfam family: Bacterial small subunit ribosomal RNA
Source: RNAcentral